CCUACGGGAGGCAGCAGUGGGGAAUUUUGGACAAUGGGCGCAAGCCUGAUCCAGCAAUGCCGCGUGCAGGAAGAAGGSCUUCGGGUUGUAAACUGCUUUUGUACGGAACGAAAAGGCUCUGGUUAAUACCUGGGGCACAUGACGGUACCGUAAGAAUAAGCACCGGCUAACUACGUGCCAGCAGCCGCGGUAAU
This 194-nucleotide ribosomal RNA is filed under the name uncultured beta proteobacterium. RNAcentral describes it as "partial 16S ribosomal RNA". It matches the Rfam family "Bacterial small subunit ribosomal RNA", at positions 338 to 524 of the family's 1533-position model. Lineage: Bacteria; Pseudomonadati; Pseudomonadota; Betaproteobacteria. The record is from RNAcentral.